GGGUCGUUAGCUCAGUUGGUAGAGCAGUUGGCUUUUAACCAAUUGGUCGUAGGUUCAAAUCCUACACGACCUA
RNAcentral lists this transfer RNA (73 nucleotides) under Johnevansia muelleri (SeqCode). RNAcentral's name for it is "Candidatus Johnevansia muelleri tRNA-Lys (TTT) (tRNA-Lys-TTT-1-1)". It matches the Rfam family "tRNA". From Rfam's summary of the family: Transfer RNA (tRNA) molecules are approximately 80 nucleotides in length. Their secondary structure includes four short double-helical elements and three loops (D, anti-codon, and T loops). The record is from Rfam by way of RNAcentral. Lineage: Bacteria; Pseudomonadati; Pseudomonadota; Gammaproteobacteria; Johnevansiales (SeqCode); Johnevansiaceae (SeqCode).